RNAcentral lists this ribosomal RNA (1165 nucleotides) under Ostreopsis sp. KabO13. RNAcentral describes it as "eukaryotic LSU rRNA". It matches the Rfam family "Eukaryotic large subunit ribosomal RNA", at positions 92 to 1232 of the family's 3401-position model. The record is from RNAcentral. Lineage: Eukaryota; Dinophyceae; Peridiniales; Ostreopsidaceae.
AAUGAACACAAAUUUGAUCACUUUGGCAAUCUGUACACAUUGCUGUGUAACAAUUUGUAUACGUUGGCACAGUGCUAUCAAAGCUGCAUGCAAGUGUUUUUUUGAAAGGAUACAACAUGGGAUGUGAUAUUCAUGUGUGUGUGCCUGCUUUGUCCACAGCCUGUGCUGUAUGAAUCACAUUUCUUGCAACUGAAAUGCUAAUGGCAUGGUAAAGUUCAUGUGACAUGACACAAGCUUGAGAUUCAUGAUGUGCAAGUACCAUGAGGGAAAUGUGAAAAGGACUUUGGAAAGAGAAUUAAAUAAAGCCUGCAUUUGCUGACAAUGAAAGCAAGUGUGGAUGUUCAUGUAAUUGUUACUGCAUCAAUCAAUGUUCAUCUUGGUUACUGCAUGCUUUAUAUUACAGCUCAGAACAUGAAGUGUGUGUAACAGCUCUGCUUUGAUUUUUCCCACAUGGGAUCAGUUGAAACAUUGUGAGAGCACUCUUCAGUUUCCUUAUGUACCCACCAGCUUUGUCCACUCGCGUGUUGGCACACAUGUAAUGAUGAUGUGUUUAUGCAAAAUACUUCUGUGCUCAACAACAUGUUGUGUCAAUCCUCACUUGACCCGUCUUGAAACACGGACCAAGGAGUCUGGCAAGUGUGCAAACCAACUUUCUGUANAGAUUUGUAUGUAAUGAACAUGUUUGUAUCAUUAUUGCACCACCAAUCAAUAUUCAGCUCGUUGCUUAUUUGAAUGUGAGCAUUGUUGCUAGGACCCGAAAGAUGGUGAACUAUGCUUGCAUAACAUGAGUUCAGAGGAAACUCUGAUGGAAGUUUGUAUCGGUACUGACGUGCAAAUCGUUCGUCACAACUGGGUAUAGGGGCGAAAGACUAAUCGAACCAUCUAGUAGCUGGUUCCUCCCGAAGUUUCCCUCAGGAUAGUUGGGAUUUGUUCAGUUAUAUUAUUUAAAGCGAAUGUUUAAAGGAAUUGGGGGCUUGUUUGCCUUUGACCUAUUCUCAAACUUUUAAUGUGUAUUAUUGCUGGAAUAACACAGAGUAUUGCAUGCAAUGAAAAAAUCAAGUGGGCCAUUUUUGGUAAGCAGAACUGGCGAUGAGGGAUGAACCUAAUAGUGGGUAAACAUGCUUAAUUUCCUGCCUAUGUGAUACCAGAAAGGGUGUUGGUUCAU